CAAUGCCGCUAUGUAAACUGUAAGGUGGGUCUUAAAUUAGUGUGAGUUAUUUUGGCACCGGACUCAACCUUCACGUUACAAUAUUUAAAGUAUUGCGCUGUCAUAGUAACGAAAAUGAUAAACACGUCAAUCGGAGUAAACAAGUAACUAAAUGAUGCAAACAAGAAAAUAUUGCAAAAUAGGUACAUAUAUAUGUACCGAUAAUUAUUUUGUGUUAAAAAUAUGAGGCAAAUUAUACUGCCCGAUUAUACGGACUACAUAUUAAAAACGAUUAUCUUGGAAACAGUCAAUAGAUGUCGAACCACCAGCAAAGUUUUUGAAGAGGUGUAGUUCCUGGUACCAACUGGAAACUGAAACUAAUAAUCUACACUCAAGAAAAUGAAAUAUAGUCACAGAAAACUUUAAUGUUUUAUUUUAUUAAAGAAAAACGUUAAAAAAAUGUGUAAACAGAAAUAUAUAUUUUUUAAUUCGUA
Cydia pomonella (codling moth) is the source of this 473-nucleotide long non-coding RNA. RefSeq lists it as uncharacterized. The record is from RefSeq and is a predicted model, not a curated record. The transcript has 2 exons. Lineage: Eukaryota; Metazoa; Arthropoda; Insecta; Lepidoptera; Tortricidae.